GGUGGCCGGCGUGCAGCCGCCGGCGGCCAAUGGCUGGCGGGGUCGCGGGCGGAGCCGGGGGCGGAGCUC
RNAcentral lists this microRNA precursor (69 nucleotides) under Dipodomys ordii (Ord's kangaroo rat). Its description in RNAcentral is "miRNA (ENSDORG00000028074.1)". The record is from RNAcentral. Lineage: Eukaryota; Metazoa; Chordata; Mammalia; Rodentia; Heteromyidae.